UCCGAGUUGACCCCGGCGGUCUCCCAAGAGUCCCCACCAUUACGUGCUGGCAACAUGGGACAGGGGUUGCGCUCGUUGCGGGUCCUCGACCUUUCGGCCUCGUACCACGUGCAUGUCAAGCCCAGGUAAGGUUCUUCGCGUUGCGUCGAAUUAAACCACACGCUCCGCUGCUUGUGCGGGCCCCCGUCAAUUCCUUUGAGUUUUAGCCUUGCGGCCGUAGUCCCCAGGCGGAGUACUUAUCGCGUUAGCUGCGGCACCGAGGGGGUCGAUACCCCCGACACCUAGUACUCAUCGUUUACAGCGUGGACUAC
This 311-nucleotide unclassified non-coding RNA is filed under the name uncultured Chloroflexota bacterium. RNAcentral describes it as "uncultured Chloroflexi bacterium contains 16S-23S intergenic spacer region". The record is from RNAcentral. Lineage: Bacteria; Bacillati; Chloroflexota.